CACCGCAUGCAAAUUAUAAACACUCCGACCACCGUCGAUUGCGCUCGUGAAAUUCGUCUCCGACGAACUCUACGUUCAUUCAUCGAAUGCAUGCUCCCAUACUGUUGCACUUACCAACAACAACCUGCUCAUUCGUACCAAAACGACACCGUUUCGGUCUCUUCCUCUACUUCCUCAGACCACCCAACAACAACCUGCUCAUUCGUACCAAAACGACACCGUUUCGGUUUCUUCCUCAUCUUCCUCCUCAGACCACUCCUCCUCUUCCUCCAGCAUCGUAAGUGGAACUUUCUUCGGGCACAGUCGUGGCAGAGUCAGUUUCUGCCUUCAAGACG
RNAcentral lists this long non-coding RNA (335 nucleotides) under Brassica napus (rape). Its description in RNAcentral is "long non-coding RNA (BNAP_LNC017200)". The record is from RNAcentral. Lineage: Eukaryota; Viridiplantae; Streptophyta; Magnoliopsida; Brassicales; Brassicaceae.